AACGCGAAGAACCUUACCUGGGCUCGAAAUGUAGUGGACCGGGGUGGAAACAUCCCUUCCCCGCAAGGGGCUGCUAUAUAGGUGCUGCAUGGCUGUCGUCAGCUCGUGUCGUGAGAUGUUGGGUUAAGUCCCGCAACGAGCGCAACCCUUGUUACCAGUUGCUACCAUUUAGUUGAGCACUCUGGUGAGACCGCCUCGGAUAACGGGGAGGAAGGCGGGGAUGACGUCAAGUCAUCAUGGUCCUUACGUCUAGGGCUACACACGUGCUACAAUGGACAGUACAGAGGGAUGCGAGGUAGCAAUGCCAAGCCAAUCCCAAAAGCUGUCCUCAGUUCGGAUUGUCGCCUGCAACCCGGCGGCAUGAAGCUGGAAUCGCUAGUAAUCGUGGAUCAGCAUCGCCACGGUGAAUACGUUCCCGGGCCUUGUACACACCGCUAGUC
Molecule: ribosomal RNA, 440 nt
Filed under: uncultured bacterium
Lineage: Bacteria
Description: bacterial SSU rRNA
Rfam family: Bacterial small subunit ribosomal RNA
Source: RNAcentral